CUAUGCCCAAAGAACCUGCCGCCCGGAAGCAACAACUUCCAUCAAACGGCAAAGAAAAGUUCCUAGGGAGAGAGCUUAGCGCCCAAGCAGCCUGCGCUAGUGCCGAGACAGAACAGGAGAGCAGCAGACAGUGCAGGCCGGGCCAGCCUGCAGGCGGUGGCUGCGGCGGCGCUGGUAGGGCAGACCCGGGCUCCGGAAGGCUCCAGGUCCGGGGGUGGCCGCCGGCCUUGGGCACAGUGCCGGCUUUCGCACCCCUCCCCACGACCGCGAGCAGUGGGCGGAGAGAUUAGAGCAAAGGAAAAGACGGACAAUGCCUGGCCGGGCCGGCGACCUCCGUGCGGCCCCCGCCGGCCCGUCCCUACUCGGGCGGCCAGCUACCGGGCUAAGUUUCCUAAGCCCUGCCUCCAGCCCCGGCGGCGAAAGCUCGGCCGCCGCCUUCCUCCCAGCCGGGCGGUUCCCGCGAGUCUGCGAGGAGGAGGCAGCGUGCGAGCCGAGCCGGGCGCGCAAGGAGGCGGCGCGCGAGAGCCCGACGGGCGCCCGGCGGUGCUGCGAGCUCUUCCCACCCCUUCCCUGCCCCGCCCACCCCUUCGCCUUCCUGAUUGGCGAGAAACCUACAACAGGAACAGGAGUCCCAGCCUUCCAGUGGCUGGACCAGACGCCCUUCAGACUCACCCCGCCUCCGUCCCGCCCCCUCCCCCUGGUUGGCACAACCUCUAAUCACUCUCUAUCGUCUCCCCUAACGUUGCUUUGGAGAACUGGCACUCAAAGCUCACCCUCCCGCCUCCGGAAAGCGAACUUUAUUUUUAUUGGCGAAAGCACACCUUCCUGUGCACCUGAUUGGGCAAGGAGGAGGCUAAUCGGCACGCCUCUUACCUAUUAUCACUCUCCCUUUACGGAUUUAAGAAAACCGCAAAGUCUUUCCUACUUUGCCUUCCAAGCGCCUUUCUCUUUAAAUGUUGCUAAAAGUAGAAGACAAUUUCGCAGCCUGUAUUAAGGGAAGCGGAAAAGAAGAAAGAGAAAGAUUAAAAAUGCUCUCCAGAUGGGUAGUACAUCGGAGCUGGGUCUGGCAUCCUGCGGAUCCUAAUCCUGUGGUCUGGUGCAUGGAGUGGUUACGUUGAGCUAAAGCACCUGAAAUUCUAAUAUUGACUCCUGAGAUCUACUCACAAGCUUUCACUCACCGUUCUCUCCAUUCACACCCUUAGUUUCUUUGGCAUUUCUCCACCCAGAAGAGCUUUAAUAAAGGCGUCUGCGAACCUGAAGCUUCCCUUGUUUAUCUCGCGGUCGUUCAUUUAGAAAAGCAUCUAAGCCUUUCCAUUAAAAGUUCCGUUUAGUCACGUCCUUUGCGUCUCUCUGGCGUUUGCACAAGAG
Molecule: long non-coding RNA, 1368 nt
Organism: Heterocephalus glaber (naked mole-rat)
Lineage: Eukaryota; Metazoa; Chordata; Mammalia; Rodentia; Bathyergidae
Source: Ensembl